CUUCCUUCGGGAAGUGCAUAAAGUGGCGCACGGGUGAGUAACACGUAAGUAAUCUACCCUCGAGUGGGGAAUAACGUCCGGAAACGGACGCUAAUACCGCAUGAUGCAGCGGCACAGCAAGGUGACAGUUGUUAAAGAUUUAUCGCUUGGGGAGGAGCUUGCGGCAGAUUAGCUUGUUGGUAAGGUAACGGCUUACCAAGGCAACGAUCUGUAACCGGUCUAAGAGGACGGUCGGUCACACUGACACUGAAUAACGGGUCAGACUCCUACGGGAGGCAGCAGUCGGGAAUUUUGGGCAAUGGGGGAAACCCUGACCCAGCAACGCCGCGUGAAGGAUGAAGUAUUCCGGUAUGUAAACUUCGAAAGAAUAGGAAGAAUUAAUGACGGUACUAUUUAUAAGGUCCGGCUAACUACGUGCCAGCAGCCGCGGUAAUACGUAGGGACCAAGCGUUGUUCGGAUUUACUGGGCGUAAAGGGCGCGUAGGCGGCAAUUCAAGUCAUCUGUGAAAUCUCCGGGCUUAACUCGGAACGGUCAGAUGAUACUGCUUUGCUAGAGUGCGGAAGGGGCAAUCGGAAUUCUUGGUGUAGCGGUGAAAUGCGUAGAUAUCAAGAGGAACACCUGAGGUGAAGACGGGUUGCUGGGCCGACACUGACGCUGAGUGCGCGAAAGCCAGGGGAGCAAACGGGAUUAGAUACCCCGGUAGUCCUGGCCCUAAACGAUGAAUACUUGGUGUCUGGAGUUAUUAGUGCUCCGGGUGCCGUCGCUAACGUUUUUAGUAUUCCGCCUGGGGAGUACGCUCGCAAGAGUGAAACUC
This 815-nucleotide ribosomal RNA is filed under the name uncultured Bacillota bacterium. RNAcentral describes it as "bacterial SSU rRNA". It matches the Rfam family "Bacterial small subunit ribosomal RNA", at positions 74 to 902 of the family's 1533-position model. Lineage: Bacteria; Bacillati; Bacillota. The record is from RNAcentral.